Molecule: long non-coding RNA, 297 nt
Filed under: Prunus persica (peach)
Lineage: Eukaryota; Viridiplantae; Streptophyta; Magnoliopsida; Rosales; Rosaceae
Description: long non-coding RNA (PPER_LNC004493)
Source: RNAcentral
CUGGGCAUUCUUUAAAAAGCCCAAAUCAAGACUAUCUGAACGCAACUAGAAAGAAGCAUUUUAUAGAGGAGAAAAGUGAAGUUUUUCUCUCCUUUUCAACGAAAUCUAACUCAUUUGACCAACAAAAAAAAUUAAAAAGAUCUUUCAUUGUACAGUUUUUCUUUUCCGAAUUUGGUGAGGUGAAAUUGAUGCUUUGGGUUUGUUUAUUACAACACUGUUUAGGCCGUUAAUUAAAAUAUAAUUAAAAGUCUUCACUACUAAAUUCAUUAAAAUAAUAGUAAUUUUAGGUAAUUCGAC